Long non-coding RNA from Rhopilema esculentum, 1037 nucleotides. RefSeq lists it as uncharacterized. Lineage: Eukaryota; Metazoa; Cnidaria; Scyphozoa; Rhizostomeae; Rhizostomatidae. The record is from RefSeq and is a predicted model, not a curated record.
UAAUGUUGACUCGUCCUCUUAAUGUCAGGCACAGUCUUUCUCAAGCACUGUCCUCUCAAAUAUGUCAAAUAAUCCACAAUAAUCGUUUCGCGCGAUGUCUUAAAUAGCUAUACGUGUCCUAUAAAUCCAUAAUUUAUGCCGACAAGAUCAUUCACAAGCAUCUUGCCACAUAAGUGAAACGUCGAGAACCUAAAUAUACAAAAUAUCAAAACUUAACCUAAUCGCUCUUAACCGAAUUCCAUUUCCAACUUCAACUCCAACUCCAACUCAAAAACUAACUCUAUAUGUAACACGCCCAAAAUAUAACUAAACAAGAACUUAUUGUAAUGCUACAUAGCUACGUAAAUUUACAUAAUAAUAGUGAAUACAAAAUAUAUUAGUCCCAAGAUUAAUUACAUAAACUGAAUAAUGAUACUAAAAAUCCCAAAAGAAAUAGUUAAUGAAUCUAAAGGUGCAAUUAGAAAACAAAAGGAAUUAUAAACAAUCGAAUGUGCGAACGGUGAUAAAAUUAUUAAGGUUACAGGAUGCAAAACAAAAGAAAUCCAAACUAGCACUAUUACAGGGGGGAGCGGAUCCCCGCGCUUCCACGGUCCCGGGUUAUAUCAGUUGCAUUAUGGGAAAAGUGAAUCAUUCCCAGGUCCCAACUUCUUUCGGCAGAUCAUCUGGACAAAAUGGCGUCUUUCGGAGAAACGUCUUUGAGAAACAUUGGCUCAUAUAUUGCCAAAAAUGGAUCUUUGUCAAAUGCCGUUGAUGCGAUUUCAAGAUCAGUAACUAGAUAUCAAGCGAAGUAUAUUCAUUGCAAGAACGCACGAAUGACUCCGUUUUGGCACGCAGUUGGUCUCUGCAUUGCGUUGAAUUAUUACAUAGAGUACCCACAUUUGAAAAAACAUGCAAGACACAGAAAAUAUCAUUGAAAGUAUGGAGUAAUUGUCUCCCAAGUGCAGAUGUCAACCAAGUGUGCAUGAUGGUUAUGAAGAACUUUUGAAUGUUAUAUGUGUAUUUCUCAUUUUUCAAUGAAGUAUGUUAAAAAUGAUCUA